RNAcentral lists this unclassified non-coding RNA (552 nucleotides) under Hevea brasiliensis (rubber tree). Lineage: Eukaryota; Viridiplantae; Streptophyta; Magnoliopsida; Malpighiales; Euphorbiaceae. The record is from RNAcentral.
CGCAUUCAAUGCCUGAUCACCAAAGUGAGUGCCAUUCAGUUGCCUACGUGUCUGAAGUAAUUCAAGAUGCCAAUCAGUCUUGUUUUUAAAUGCAUUCUCCAAUAGAAUUGCUUCUUGAUCAUGGGCUCUGGCUGUUUGGCUAAGGAUGGACCUUUUAGAUGUGUAAGUCAAGUGACUUGAAAAUGUGAAUGUCCUAAAUAGAUGGACUUUAUCAUUUAUAUCAUGAUUAUGCACAGUGAUUGUGUAAAUCAUUUAACGGUUUAAACUAACUGAUUGAAGCAUCCAAAGUAGUUAUUUAAUAAGUGUUACUGGCAUUUCUAUCACUACUUAAGCUCAUAGUGCGGUGCCAUUUAGGUUCAUAGCUUCUAGAUGAACCUUUCAGGUUGUUUACCCUGCCUCUCUUUCUGUGUUCUGAAGGACAUGCAGUACUUGUAGACUAUACAUAAUCACUGAAACAUUGAAAGGAGAUUCCUACAUAUAUUUUUUUUUUCAAUUCUGAUCAUUGUAUAAAUGCUGCCCUUCAACUUCAGUAGGGACAGGUGGAAUGGUACA